CCUACGGGUGGCAGCAGUGGGGAAUAUUGCACAAUGGGCGCAAGCCUGAUGCAGCCAUGCCGCGUGUGUGAAGAAGGCCUUCGGGUUGUAAAGCACUUUCAGCGGGGAGGAAGGCGUUAAGGUUAAUAACCUUGUCGAUUGACGUUACCCGCAGAAGAAGCACCGGCUAACUCCGUGCCAGCAGCCGCGGUAAUACGGAGGGUGCAAGCGUUAAUCGGAAUUACUGGGCGUAAAGCGCACGCAGGCGGUCUGUCAAGUCGGAUGUGAAAUCCCCGGGCUCAACCUGGGAACUGCAUUCGAAACUGGCAGGCUAGAGUCUUGUAGAGGGGGGUAGAAUUCCAGGUGUAGCGGUGAAAUGCAUAGAGAUCUGGAGGAAUACCGGUGGCGAAGGCGGCCCCCUGGACAAAGACUGACGCUCAGGUGCGAAAGCGUGGGGAGCAAACAGGAUUAGAUACCCGGGUAGUC
Molecule: ribosomal RNA, 465 nt
Filed under: uncultured Klebsiella sp.
Lineage: Bacteria; Pseudomonadati; Pseudomonadota; Gammaproteobacteria; Enterobacterales; Enterobacteriaceae
Description: bacterial SSU rRNA
Rfam family: Bacterial small subunit ribosomal RNA
Source: RNAcentral